CUGCCCGCCCAAAGUGCUGGGAUUACAGACAUAAGCCACUGAGCCCAGCCUUGAAGCUAAACAUAUACUUACCAUAUGACCCAGCAACUCCACUCCCAAGAGAAAUGAAAGUGCAUAUCCUUCCAAAGACUGGUGCCAAAUGUUCACAGCAGCUUUAUUGGUAACAACAACAACAACAACAACAACAACAACAAAACUAGAAACAACCCAAAUAUCCAUCUACAGGCAAAUGGAUAAACAGUCUGUGGUAUAUACAUACAAUGGAAUACUGUUGAGCAAUAAAAAGGCAUAAACUAUUGAAACAUGCAAAAAAUGGAUAAAUCUCAAGAUAAUUAUGUUGAUGGAAAGAAUCCAGACCAAAAAAAGAGUACAUAUUAUAUGGCUCCAUUUAUAUAAAAUUCUAGAAAAUGCAAACUAAUCUACAGAGACAGAAAGAAGAUCAGCAGUUCCUUAGAACGGAGAAUGUAGGUAGGGGCACAAGAGAGGGAUUGCAACGUGAUUUCUCCAAGGGGUGAUGGAUGUUUAUUAUCUUGAUAGUGGUGAUGGUUUCUCGAGUACACAUGUACAUAAAAACUUAUAAUAUUGUAUACAUUAAGUGUGUAGUUUACUGUAUGUAAAUUACACAUCAACAAAGGUAUUAAAAAUGGAAAAUAAAACAAAUCAGAAUGCUGUUAGGAUGGUGCUGUUAGACAAAACUGUAUAAAUAUUCCUUUUAGAAGCCAACAAAUCUACUUCUCUCCUGCAUCUAUGGCCUUGAACUGCAUUUUCACUAGAGAACUUUCAGCUUGGGGCAAAAAAUAUUUAGCUCUGGGUGUGGGGGAAGAUUUUUGUUACUUCCUCCUGUAGCCUAUAUAGGUGCAGAGAGGAAGAAAUACAGUUCACAGUCAUAGUCCUCAAAUGAAGGAGCAAAGGAGUAAUAGGGUCACAGCCUGGACAGAGCCCAAGAAUAAACGGGCAAGAGCUUACAUAGGCAGAUGGACAUCCUUCUGUCUAUAAUAUGCUUAGCAUAGGUGCAGUGGUGGCAGGGCAGAGGGAUGCAUGCUUCUCUGUACAACAUGUUCUCUCACUUCCGUGUUUCAGAAGACAUCUUAUAAUCAUGGUUGUUUUCAGAAAGAACAAAAUGAAACUUUCUGGUGGCAUUCAUAAAGACAUAAAAAUAAUGGUUUGCGUAGCUCAUCAGGAUCCAUUGAGGCGGGGCGCUGUGGCUCAUGCCUGUAAUUUCAGCACUUUGGGAGGCCGAGGCGGGCAGAUCACUUGAGGUCAGGAGUUCGAGACCAGCCUGGCCAACAUGGUGAAACCCCAUCUCUACUAAAAAAACAAAAAUUAGCAGGGCAUGGUGGCAGGUGCCGUAAUCCCAGCUACUCAGGAGGCUGAGGCAGGAGAAUUGCUUGAACCCGGGGGCAGAGGUUGUAGUGAGCUAAGAUUGCACUACUGCACUCCAGCCUGCGCAACAGAGUGAGACUGUCUCAAAAACAAAACAAAACAAAAAAACAAAAAUGAUCCAUUGAGAUAGUGAGUUUGUCUGUGAGAAGCAAGGGCCAUUUUUCCCUUCCACUUUUCAUUACCACAUACUGUGAUUAUUGGUAUGGUGGAUGCUCCGUGUGUGUGUAGACAGAAAAAAAGAGGCACUACAUAGAGUGGUUAGAAACAGAGAUAAGAGAAACUACAAGAGAUAAACAGAAUCAGGUCUCCAGUUUUUUGUUUUUUUUUUUUCAAAUUAGAAAAGGGCUUAGCAUCUAGACACAACAAAGAAGUGCUGGAAAUUCAGUGAUCAAAGAUACUUCAUGUAACGACUCUGGUGUUUUUUUUUUUUUUUUUUGGCAAGAAUAUGGUAACAUGAUGGUAAUUAGCAGGGAGAGGUGUAAAAGAAGCAUAUGAAAAUAAUAUUAUAUCACUGGGCUUCUUUGUCAGUGGGUCAGGUUAUGACCUCAAAUGGCAGUAUAACUAUUACUGAUGUGUAGAAUUUUGACUUAAAAAAAUGCUUGAGAGUAAAAUCACCUGAGCUAUCCAUAAUGCAUUAGUGUCCAUAUCCUUUAGAUCACCAGAAACAAAAAAAUAAGAAAGCAUCACCUGAAUUUUACUAUUGUUAGGAUAUACAAAUCAAAAUAGCAUAAAAGAUAACUCAUAUUUAAGUCAGAAUUUUUGUUUUGGCCUGACUCCAUGAAUUUAUGAAAUUGUGUAAGGCAAGGAAAAGGCAUUUAAAAAAUGUCUCUGGGCUGGGCGAGGCGAGAGGAUAGGUUGGGAGGUAGAGGUUCCAGUGAGCCGAGAUUGCGCCACUGUACUCCAGCCUGGGCGAUGAUAGAGUGAGACCCUAUCUGAAAAAAAAAAAAAAGUAUCUUGGUUGGUUUCAAGGAAUUGCAUAAAUGAAUACCUGGGAAAUGCUUUGGAGUAUUGUGGAGUAUAUAUAGGAAGGUAUCUUAAAUGUUUACAAAGUUUGAGAGGGCAACAAUAAUAAUAAUAGCAUUUCCAGCUUAUGGAAGAUUGGUAAUUUCUAUUCACCAAAAUAGUAUGUAUUUAAUUAUAUUAUAAAAUAUUAGAGUGCAUAGAAAUAGUAUUACAACUGAUAAUCUUUUUAAGAUUACACGUUUUGAAGGGCCAAAUAUAUUGUGGACAUUUGCUAUUACUUUGGCCAUUCAGCAUCUGAAACCCCAUGUUAGAAUUCCCAUUUAUAACCUAGUUGGUAGAGGCGUAAAAAUCCCAGAUGCUUGCUUUCCCUCGCUUUGUAGUUAGUAUGCAGGCUUAUAACCUGGAUUUCACCAUUCGGAUCUAGCUGCACCAGAUUUUCACUUGGAAGCUAGUAAAGGAAAACCAAACAAACAAUAGUAUCCGCAAAGAAACAAUAACUAAACCUAGGAAUGGUGGAGCUGUCUUUCGCUCUGGAUGAGUCAACUGUAGUGGUUGAUGGAAAAUAAAGUUUCAGUUAAAGAACUAGCAGCCAUGUUGUGGGGGGUGGGAGUUGUGAGUUCUGAUUCCUUGCAGAGAGCCACCUAAUCUUGUAAAUUAACUUAUCUGAUUAAAAAAAGGUAACGACUUCAUUAUACAAAACCUGUAGGAUACAGAAAAGGUGUGUGGGCUUCUGUGUGUAUGUAUGUAUGCAUAUACAUAUAAAUAUAUAUAUAUAUAUAUAUACACACACACAUUGAGGGUUUUCUUCUUAAAGUUGGGAUCAUACCCUAUAGUUUUAUGUCUUUUAAUGCAAUUUUCGAUAUUUUCUAUGCCUUUCUUUGACAAUGCAAUUUUAAAUAACUGCAUCAUUUAACUGUUCUUCUAUUGAAUAUUUAGACUCUCUAAUAUUUUGCUGUCAGAGGUUUCAAAGAAUAUUCUUGUAUAUAAACUUUACUAUACUUCUGAUUGUUGCUUUAGGAUAAAUUCCUAGAUGGCAGAUUACUAAAACUGAGUGAAAUCUGAGGCUUUUUAAAGCUCUUGAUAUGGUUAUAAAGUUGUUCUCCAGAGGUGGCUGACCCACUCUUGAAUCACUAAUGGGUUUUGAAUAGAAAGUGCUGACACUGAACUUUAAUAAAACUGUAAUGUCAGACAUAAAUUUUUUUUUUUUUUGAGACAGAGUCUCGCUCUGUCGCCCAGGCUGGAGCGGCAGUGGCAUGAUCUGGGCUCACUGCAACCUCCACCUCCUGGGUUCAAGUGAUUCUCCUGCCUCGGCCUCCCAAGUAGCUGGUACUACAGGUGUGCAAAAAUAUUUUUUAAAAUAAUGACUAUUGUAGCUGUUAUGAAAGCAUACUACUUGCCUGACAUGGCUAUGUGCUUUAGAGACAUCAUCACAUUGACUGAUUGAUUGACUGAGACAAGGUCUUGCUUUGUCACUCAGGCUAGGGUGCAAUGGUGUGAUCGUGGCUCACUGCAGCCUCAGUCUCCCAGACUUCAGCAAUUCUCCUGAGUAGCUGGGACUAUAGGCAUGCAUCACCACACCUGGCUAAUUUAUUUUUAUUUUUAGUAGAAAUGGGAUCUUGCUGCGUUGUCCAGGCUGAUCACAACCUCCUGAGCUCAAGCAGUCCUCCUGCCUUGGCCUCCGAGAAUGCUGGGAUUAUAGGCAUGAGCCACUGCACCUGGCUGACAUUAUCACAUUUAAUCCUCACACUGAUACUUUUUACUGGUACUUUCAACCUCAUCAAUAAAAUGGGGGGAUAUGGCCAAAUAUUUUGCUAAAGGUCACAUAACUCAUAAAUGUGGACUGAGGAAUGAAGCAUUGUCUUUUUUUUUUUUCUUUUUUUUUUGACUUCAAAGUUCAUUUUCUUUCCUUUAAACCGUUGUAACCCAAGAACUUAA
This 4281-nucleotide long non-coding RNA is filed under the name Homo sapiens (human). RNAcentral describes it as "HSALNT0094043". The record is from RNAcentral. Lineage: Eukaryota; Metazoa; Chordata; Mammalia; Primates; Hominidae.